RNAcentral lists this ribosomal RNA (253 nucleotides) under uncultured bacterium. RNAcentral describes it as "partial 16S ribosomal RNA". It matches the Rfam family "Bacterial small subunit ribosomal RNA", at positions 524 to 776 of the family's 1533-position model. The record is from RNAcentral.
UACGUAGGUGGCAAGCGUUGUCCGGAAUUAUUGGGCGUAAAGCGCGCGCAGGUGGUCUCUUAAGUCUGAUGUGAAAGCCCACGGCUCAACCGUGGAGGGUCAUUGGAAACUGGGGGACUUGAGUGCAGAAGAGGAGAGUGGAAUUCCACGUGUAGCGGUGAAAUGCGUAGAGAUGUGGAGGAACACCAGUGGCGAAGGCGACUCUCUGGUCUGUAACUGACGCUGAGGCGCGAAAGCGUGGGGAGCAAACGGG